Molecule: ribosomal RNA, 253 nt
Filed under: uncultured bacterium
Lineage: Bacteria
Description: partial 16S ribosomal RNA
Rfam family: Bacterial small subunit ribosomal RNA
Source: RNAcentral
UACAGCGGGGGCUAGCGUUGUUCGGAAUUACUGGGCGUAAAGGGUGCGUAGGCUGUCUGCCAAGUCAGGUGUGAAAUCCCGGGGCUUAACCUCGGAAUUGCACUUGAAACUAGCAGGCUGGAGAACGAGAGAGGAUAGUAGAAUUCCUAGUGUAGGAGUGAAAUCCGUAGAUAUUAGGAGGAAUACCAGUGGCGAAGGCGGCUAUCUGGCUCGUUUCUGACGCUGAGGCACGAAAGCGUGGGGAUCAAACAGG